UACAGGGGGUGCAACCGUUGCUCGGAAUCAUUGGGCGUAAAGCGCACGUAGGCGGUUCGUUAUGUCGGAUGUGAAAGCCCUUGGCUUAACCGAGGAAGUGCAUCCGAAACUGGCGAGCUAGAGUACUAAAGAGGAUCGCGGAAUUCCCGGUGUAGAGGUGAAAUUCGUAGAUAUCGGGAGGAACACCAGUGGCGAAGGCGGCGAUCUGGGUAGAUACUGACGCUGAGGUGCGAAAGCGUGGGGAGCAAACAGG
RNAcentral lists this ribosomal RNA (253 nucleotides) under uncultured bacterium. RNAcentral's name for it is "partial 16S ribosomal RNA". It matches the Rfam family "Bacterial small subunit ribosomal RNA", at positions 524 to 776 of the family's 1533-position model. The record is from RNAcentral.